This 504-nucleotide ribosomal RNA is filed under the name uncultured bacterium. Its description in RNAcentral is "partial 16S ribosomal RNA". It matches the Rfam family "Bacterial small subunit ribosomal RNA", at positions 29 to 523 of the family's 1533-position model. The record is from RNAcentral.
AUUGAACGCUGGCGGCAGGCCUAACACAUGCAAGUCGGACGGUAGCACAGAGAGCUUGCUCUUGGGUGACGAGUGGCGGACGGGUGAGUAAUGUCUGGGGAUCUGCCCGAUAGAGGGGGAUAACCACUGGAAACGGUGGCUAAUACCGCAUAACGUCGCAAGACCAAAGAGGGGGACCUUCGGGCCUCUCACUAUCGGAUGAACCCAGAUGGGAUUAGCUAGUAGGCGGGGUAAUGGCCCACCUAGGCGACGAUCCCUAGCUGGUCUGAGAGGAUGACCAGCCACACUGGAACUGGGACACGGUCCAGACUCCUACGGGAGGCAGCAGUGGGGAAUAUUGCACAAUGGGCGCAAGCCUGAUGCAGCCAUGCCGCGUGUAGGAAGAAGGCCUUCGGGUUGUAAAGUACUUUCAGCGGGGAGGAAGGCGGUACGGUUAAUAACCGUACCGAUUGACGUUACCCGCAGAAGAAGCGCCGGCUAACUCCGUGCCAGCCGCCGCGGUAA